UGAAUACGAGACGCUAAGGCGUCGAAGUAGUGUAUGUCAUACUUCCAAGAAAAGCCUGCACUGUCAUAGAUAAAAAACGCCUGUACCAUAACCGACACAGGUGGGUAGGUAGAGUAUACUAAGGGGCGCGAGAUAACUCUCUCUAAGGAACUCGGCAAAAUAACUCCGUAACUUCGGGAGAAGGAGUGCCUUAUUCGUAAGGUUGCAAUAACAAGAUCCAAGCAACUGUUUAUCAAAAACACAGGUCUCCGCUAAGUCGUAAGACGAUGUAUGGGGGCUGACGCCUGCCCAGUGCCAGAAGGUUAAAGAAGUUGGUUAGCAAUUGCGAAGCUGAUAACUGAAGCCCUGGUGAACGGCGGCCGUAACAAUAACGGUCCUAAGGUAGCGAAAUUCCUUGUCGGGUAAGUUCCGACCCGCACGAAAGGCGUAAUGAUUUGGAUACUGUCUCGGAGAGGGGCUCGGUGAAAUAGACUUGUCUGUGAAGAUGCGGACUACCUGCACCAGGACAGAAAGACCCUAUGAAGCUUUACUGUAACUUGAAAUUGAAAUUGGACUUUAUUCGCGCAGUAUAGGUGGGAGGCGUUGAUUAUAAUCUUGUGGGAUUAUUGGAGCCAUCAGUGAGAUACCACUCUUGUAAUGUUAGAUUUCUAACUUUGAAUCAUUAUCUGGUCAAAGAACAGUUUCAGGCGGGCAGUUUGACUGGGGCGGUCGCCUCCUAAACGGUAACGGAGGCGUACAAAGGUUUCCUCUGAACGGUUAGAAAUCGUAUCUAGAGUGUAAAGGCAUAAGGAAGCUUGACUGUGAGACCUACAAGUCGAGCAGGGACGAAAGUCGGUCUUAGUGAUCUGACGGUACUGAGUGGAAAGGCCGUCACUCAACGGAUAAAAGUUACUCUAGGAUAACAGGCUGAUCUCCCCCAAGAGUUCACAUCGACGGGGAGGUUUGGCACCUCGAUGUCGGCUCAUCGCAUCCUGGGGCGGUAGUACGUCCCAAGGGUUGGGCUGUUCGCCCAUGAAAGCGGUACGCGAGCUGGGUUCAGAACGUCGUGAGACAGUUCGGUCCAUAUCCGGUGUAGGCGUUAGAAUAUUGAGAGGAGCCUUCUUUAGUACGAGAGGACCGAGAAGGACAUACCUCUGGUGUACCAGUUAUCGUGCCAACGGUAAACGCUGGGUAGCUAUGUAUGGAGUGGAUAACCGCUGAAAGCAUCUAAGUGGGAAGCCCACCUCAAGAUAAGUAUUCUCAUC
This 1244-nucleotide ribosomal RNA is filed under the name metagenome. Its description in RNAcentral is "bacterial LSU rRNA". It matches the Rfam family "Bacterial large subunit ribosomal RNA", at positions 1564 to 2818 of the family's 2925-position model. The record is from RNAcentral.